AACGAACGCUGGCGGCAGGCUUAACACAUGCAAGUCGAGCGCCCCGCCAGGGGUUCGGCCGACGGGUGAGUAACGCGAGGGAACGUACAUCUUGGUUCGGAACAACUCCGGGAUACUGGAGAACAUACCGGAUAAGUCCUAAAGGGGAAAGAUUUAUCGUCGAAAGUGCGGUCCGCGUCUGAUUAGUUAGUUGGUGAGGUGACGGCUCACCAAGGCGACGCUCGGUAGCUGGUCUGAGAGGAUGAACGGCCACACCGGGACUGGGACACGGCCCUGACUCCUACGGGAGGCAGGAGUGGGGAAUAUUGGACAAUGGGCGCAAGCCUGAUCCAGCCAUGCCGCGUGAGUGAUGAAGGCGUUAGGGUUGUAAAGCUCGUUUGUCCGGGAAGAUAAUGAGUUUACCGGAAGAAGAAGCCCCGGCUAACUUCGUG
RNAcentral lists this ribosomal RNA (431 nucleotides) under uncultured bacterium. RNAcentral describes it as "partial 16S ribosomal RNA". It matches the Rfam family "Bacterial small subunit ribosomal RNA", at positions 29 to 507 of the family's 1533-position model. The record is from RNAcentral.